CAGCCGCCGCGGGAAUACGGAGGGGGCUAGCGUUGUUCGGAAUUACUGGGCGUAAAGCGCACGUAGGCGGCUUUUUAAGUCAGAGGUGAAAGCCCGGGGCUCAACUCCGGAACUGCCUUUGAGACUGGAAGGCUUGAACGUCGGAGAGGUGAGUGGAAUUCCGAGUGUAGAGGCGAAAUUCGUAGAUAUUCGGAAGAACACCAGUGGCGAAGGCGGCUCACUGGACGACUGUUGACGCUGAGGUACGAAAGCGUGGGGAGCAAACAGGAUUAGAUACCCCGGUAGUCCCUGUCUCUUAUAC
This 301-nucleotide ribosomal RNA is filed under the name uncultured bacterium. RNAcentral describes it as "partial 16S ribosomal RNA". It matches the Rfam family "Bacterial small subunit ribosomal RNA", at positions 509 to 807 of the family's 1533-position model. The record is from RNAcentral.